GGAGCACCUGCUUCCUCAGCUUAUUUGGAUGUCAACUCUCCCUCCACCUGGCAAGAAAGAAAGAAGAGCAUCCUGUGUAAGCAUGCCAGGUCACCACAGACAGCAAGAAUCCAUACCUUGCUGAAUCCAGGAGAAGGCCAAUGCUGCCCAGGGGAAGCCACCUCUUCAACCCUCAGCAAGAAGGAAGAAAGUUGUGCCAUGUGAAGACAGUGAGGGACAGGCUGGUAAGAGAUCCAAGGCUUCACUGCUUCACUGAGUGGUGCGGUUCAUGCAGUCAUACUUGUCCUCUUGCAUGCACCAAGGCUACCUUUCUGUACAGGGCUGAACUUUUUCUUUUCCUCAUUGUUGGAGGUGAAUGUUGGUUCCCCAAAAAGUAUGUGUACAUGCUUUAAUUUAUGGGAUCUGUGAAUGUUAUCUCAUUUCACAUAGAAAGGCUACAAUUAAAUUAAAUAUCCAGAUGAUAAAUUAUCUGGAUAAGCUCUAAAUCCAAUGAUAAGUGAGAAAGAGAAAAAUCUGAGAC
Molecule: long non-coding RNA, 520 nt
Organism: Octodon degus (degu)
Lineage: Eukaryota; Metazoa; Chordata; Mammalia; Rodentia; Octodontidae
Exons: 4
Source: RefSeq, a predicted model, not a curated record